CCUACGGGGGGCUGCAGUGGGGAAUAUUGGACAAUGGGGGGAACCCUGAUCCAGCCAUGCCGCGUGUGUGAAGAAGGCCCUCGGGUUGUAAAGCACUUUCAGUGAGGAAGAACGCCUGGUGGUUAAUACCCAUCAGGAAAGACAUCACUCACAGAAGAAGCACCGGCUAACUCCGUGCCAGCAGCCGCGGUAAUACGGAGGGUGCGAGCGUUAAUCGGGAAUUACUGGGCGUAAAGCGCGCGUAGGUGGCUUGAUAAGCCGGUUGUGAAAGCCCCGGGCUCAACCUGGGAACGGCAUCCGGAACUGUCAAGCUAGAGUGCAGGAGAGGAAGGUAGAAUUCCCGGUGUAGCGGUGAAAUGCGUAGAGAUCGGGAGGAAUACCAGUGGCGAAGGCGGCCUUCUGGACUGACACUGACACUGAGGUGCGAAAGCGUGGGUAGCAAACAGGAUUAGAUACCCCAGUAGUC
Molecule: ribosomal RNA, 466 nt
Filed under: Vreelandella stevensii
Lineage: Bacteria; Pseudomonadati; Pseudomonadota; Gammaproteobacteria; Oceanospirillales; Halomonadaceae
Description: partial 16S ribosomal RNA
Rfam family: Bacterial small subunit ribosomal RNA
Source: RNAcentral